AACGCUGGCGGCGCGCUUAACACAUGCAAGUCGAACGAGAAAGCCCGCAAGGGUGAGUAAAGUGGCGUACGGGUGAGUAACACGUGGGUAAUCUACCUUUUGGUGGGGAAUAACCCUGGGAAACCGGGGCUAAUACCGCAUAAGCUCGAAAGAGGAAAGGAGCAAUUCGCCGAAAGAGGAGCCCGCGGCUGAUUAGCUAGUUGGUGAGGUAAAGGCUCACCAAGGCUAUGAUCGGUAGCCGGCCUGAGAGGGCACACGGCCACACUGGCACUGAAACACGGGCCAGACUCCUACGGGAGGCAGCAGUGGGGAAUCUUGCACAAUGGGGGAAACCCUGAUGCAGCGACGCCGCGUGAGCGAUGAAGCCCUUCGGGGUGUAAAGCUCUUUCGGCAGGGACGAUAAUGACGGUACCUGAAGAAGAAG
Molecule: ribosomal RNA, 424 nt
Filed under: Acidobacteria bacterium UCL-110
Lineage: Bacteria; Pseudomonadati; Acidobacteriota
Description: bacterial SSU rRNA
Rfam family: Bacterial small subunit ribosomal RNA
Source: RNAcentral